Molecule: ribosomal RNA, 497 nt
Filed under: uncultured bacterium
Lineage: Bacteria
Description: partial 16S ribosomal RNA
Rfam family: Bacterial small subunit ribosomal RNA
Source: RNAcentral
GAUGAACGCUGGCGGCGUGCCUAAUACAUGCAAGUCGAGCGAACAGACGAGGAGCUUGCUCCUCUGACGUUAGCGGCGGACGGGUGAGUAACACGUGGAUAACCUACCUAUAAGACUGGGAUAACUUCGGGAAACCGGAGCUAAUACCGGAUAAUAUAUUGAACCGCAUGGUUCAAUAGUGAAAGACGGUUUUGCUGUCACUUAUAGAUGGGUCCGCGCCGCAUUAGCUAGUUGGUAAGGUAACGGCUUACCAAGGCAACGAUGCGUAGCCGACCUGAGAGGGUGAUCGGCCACACUGGAACUGAGACACGGUCCAGACUCCUACGGGAGGCAGCAGUAGGGAAUCUUCCGCAAUGGGCGAAAGCCUGACGGAGCAACGCCGCGUGGGUGAUGAAGGUCUUCGGAUCGUAAAACUCUGUUAUUAGGGAAGAACAAAUGUGUAAGUAACUAUGCACGUCUUGACGGUACCUAAUCAGAAAGCCACGGCUAACUACGUG